GAUCACUGGGCACCAUCCUGGGGGGUGUAUCUAUGCGUCUGUGUUACCGUGGCCCACCUGACCUCAUCCCUGCUAACCAAAGACUUGACUCCCCCUGCAAGACUCUACUCAGGAGAGGACUUCUCCAAAGGUUUAAGCAAAGGCCCAGAAAUUUGCGCAUCACAGCCAAAGGAGGGGGCGGGGAGGGAUCCACUGCCAAGAGGUGAGGUUGGGAAUAACUUGGUAGUGAUGGUUUUGGGCAGAAAAGGUAGGCCAGACUAGUGUUUAGGCCAGCCUGUGAAGUUCAGACAUAAAAGGGGACUUCCAGGCAGUGGGUGUGGGGUGUGAACUUGGAAUAACCAAUGAAAAUAGCCUUUAAGAGGAAUCUGGCAUCUGUACCAGAGGGAAGAGGAAAAAGAAGGGGAGGCUGUAUGUGUUAUUGUGUGUGUGUUGGGGAAGGGACCGAGCGAGCUGGGAGAGAAGCAUAUCCUAUAACCUCAAAAUGCGCUCUCAUGGGCUGGCAGCAUUGGCACCAGGGAGAACUGCAGAAUUUCCAGUCUUACCUCAGAACUAAGGAAUCACAACCUGCAUCUUCAUCAGAUCUGGCAGACAAUUCACAGGCACAUUGGAGUGUGAGACGCAUUGUCUUAGAGCAAAGAAUUCAGGUUUUGUGCUUGGCUGGAUAUAAGCCACGAAGUGCAGCUAUGAAGGCAGGCUGGCCUUGGAGAGCUGGGCCUUCCUCAAGGGCCAGCUUCAGUUCCCUCAGUUCACUGUGGGAGGGCAGCCACAGUGGCAACAAGAGUCAAAAGCCAGGACACGUCUCCACGCCUCUGCCCGGAAUGUCCUGCUGCAUUCAUUCUGUCCUUUUAAGACUCAAACCCCUCUUCAGAGGCUUUCCUGGAUGCUCUGCUUAUCCCCACUUUCCCCCUAGAGGGGAUUAUUCUCCCCAGCCUGCGUCCACAUUGCACCACGGUCCCUCAGAUGUGUUCAACACACUCACUUGGACCUGUUUUCAAGUUGUCUCUCCUUUGACUCUGUUCCUCAAUUUAUCUCUGAAUUCCCGGUGGACAGCACAGGGCCUGUUUGUGGUCCACAGUGGGUUUUUCAUAAACGUGUGCUGA
Molecule: long non-coding RNA, 1100 nt
Filed under: Capra hircus (goat)
Lineage: Eukaryota; Metazoa; Chordata; Mammalia; Artiodactyla; Bovidae
Description: lncRNA (ENSCHIG00010016807.1)
Source: RNAcentral